This 120-nucleotide ribosomal RNA is filed under the name uncultured bacterium. RNAcentral describes it as "partial 16S ribosomal RNA". It matches the Rfam family "Bacterial small subunit ribosomal RNA", at positions 215 to 334 of the family's 1533-position model. The record is from RNAcentral.
GCGCUGAUGGAUCGGCCUACGUCGGAUUAGCUAGUUGGUAGGGUAAGGGCCUACCAAGGCGACGAUCCGUAGCUGGUCUGAGAGGAUGAUCAGCCACACUGGGACUGAGACACGGCCCAG